This is a non-coding RNA of Labrus bergylta (ballan wrasse), 298 nucleotides long. The record is from RefSeq and is a predicted model, not a curated record. NCBI's taxonomy places the organism in Eukaryota, Metazoa, Chordata, Actinopteri, Labriformes, Labridae.
GCCUGAAUAUUUUUAAAUGUCAAAGCUUCAAAGGUAGGAAGUGCAACAGAAAAAAGGGGUAAUUCUAUUCUAAAUGGAGUCUACGGCCUGCGGCUGGUUAUCCGCCUCUGCAGCAGGAAAUGAUUGAAAAGGCCUGCACACUCACCUAAACAAAAAAACCGUAUUGUAUUCUGUUGAUAUAGACUGGAUGCCAGGUAGUUAUGAUAACAUGCAAUGCUGUCUGAAGUUGUCGAAUCAAGCUGAUUUGGGAUGGUUGAGCUGCGUAUAACAAUGUCAUUAUAAAAUGAAUUCAUUGAAA